This 98-nucleotide transfer RNA is filed under the name Schizophyllum commune Tattone D. Its description in RNAcentral is "tRNA-Gly". It matches the Rfam family "tRNA". Rfam says of the family: Transfer RNA (tRNA) molecules are approximately 80 nucleotides in length. Their secondary structure includes four short double-helical elements and three loops (D, anti-codon, and T loops). Lineage: Eukaryota; Fungi; Basidiomycota; Agaricomycetes; Agaricales; Schizophyllaceae. The record is from RNAcentral.
GCAUUAAUGGGGUAGUGGUAACCUGGGUCGUUGCCAUUGGGUGUAAGCAUAUUUCGCAUUCGCUCGACCCGCCGGGGGUUCGAUUCCCCCUUAAUGCA